CUACGGGCCGCAGCAGUGAGGAAUAUUGCACAAUGGGGGGCACCCUGAUGCAGCAACGCCGCGUGGAGGAUGACGCAUUUCGGUGUGCAAACUCCUUUUAUAUGUCAAGAAAAUGACGGUAGCAUAUGAAUAAGCACCGGCUAACUCCGUGCCAGCAGCCGCGGUAAUACGGAGGGUGCAAGCGUUACUCGGAAUCACGGGGCGUAAAGGACGCGUAGGCGGGUUGGAAAGUCAGGUGUGAAAUCCUACAGCUUAACUGUAGAACUGCACUUGAAACUUCUAAUCUAGAGUAUGGGAGGGGAGAUGGAAUUAGUGGUGUAGGGGUAAACUCCGUAGAUAUCACUAGGAAUACCUAAAGCGAAGGCGAUCUCCUGGAACAUUACUGACGCUAAGGCGUGAAAGCGUGGGGAGCAAACAGGAUUAGAUACCCCUGUAGUC
Molecule: ribosomal RNA, 438 nt
Filed under: uncultured bacterium
Lineage: Bacteria
Description: partial 16S ribosomal RNA
Rfam family: Bacterial small subunit ribosomal RNA
Source: RNAcentral